GCAAGUCGCACGAGAACCCAUCUUCGGAAGGGGGACAGUGGCGAAAGGGUGAGUAAUGCAUAGAUAACCAACCCGCGACUUCGGGAUAACUAGAGGAAACUCUAGCUAAUACCGAAUUGUCUCGCCGUGUCGCAUGACACUGGCGAGUAAAGAUGGCCUCUCAACGAUGCCCUUGGGCGCGGACAUGUCUAUGUGCUAUCAACGCUAGUUGGUGAGGUAACGGCUCACCAAGGCUAUGACGGCUAGCCGACCUGAGAGGGUGACC
Molecule: ribosomal RNA, 265 nt
Filed under: uncultured bacterium
Lineage: Bacteria
Description: partial 16S ribosomal RNA
Rfam family: Bacterial small subunit ribosomal RNA
Source: RNAcentral